UACAGAGGGUGCGAGCGUUGUUCGGAAUUAUUGGGCGUAAAGGGCGCGUAGGCGGUGCGGUAAGUCACCUGUGAAAUCUCCUGGCUCAACUGGGAGCUUGCAGGCGAAACUGCCGUGCUGGAGUGUGGGAGAGGUGCGUGGAAUUCCUGGUGUAGCGGGUGAAAUGCGUAGAUAUCAGGAGGAAUACCUAUGGCGAAAGCAGGUAUCUGGGCCAUCACUGACGCUGAGCUGCGAAAGCGUAGGGGAGCAAACAGG
This 255-nucleotide ribosomal RNA is filed under the name uncultured bacterium. RNAcentral's name for it is "partial 16S ribosomal RNA". It matches the Rfam family "Bacterial small subunit ribosomal RNA", at positions 524 to 776 of the family's 1533-position model. The record is from RNAcentral.